Molecule: ribosomal RNA, 397 nt
Filed under: uncultured bacterium
Lineage: Bacteria
Description: partial 16S ribosomal RNA
Rfam family: Bacterial small subunit ribosomal RNA
Source: RNAcentral
AUACGUAGGUGACAAGCGUUAUCCGGAUUUACUGGGCGUAAAGGGCGUGUAGGCGGUCUUGCAAGUCAGAAGUGAAAUUCCUGAGCUCAACUCGGGCGCUGCUUCUGAAACUGCAGGACUUGAGUGCUGGAGGGGAUAGCGGAAUUCCUAGUGGAGCGGUAAAAUGCGCAGAUAUUAGGAAGAACACCGGUGGCGAAGGCGGAUAUCUCGACAGUAAGUGACGCUGAGGCGCGAAAGCGUGGGGAGCAAACAGGAUUAUAUACCCUGGUAGUCCACGCCGUGAACGAUGAAUACUAGGUGUAGGGGGUAUCGACUCCCUCUGUGCCGCAGUUAACACAAUAAGUAAUCCGCCUGGGGAGUACGGCCGCAAGGUUGAAACUCAAAGGAAUUGACGGGG